ACGGAGAGGUUUGUAGUCCUCGGCGUACAGGAGUGAACGGCUGGCGGCGUAGCUUAACACAUGCAAGUCGACGAAGCACUUAAGACGGAUUACUUCGGUUUGAAGUCUUAUUUGACUGAGUGGCGGACGGUGAGUAACGCGUGGGUAACCUGCCUCAGUACAGGGGGAUAACAGUUAGAAAUGACUGCUAAUACCGCAUAAGCGCACGGUCUCGCAUGGGACAGUGUGAAAAACUCCGGUGGUAUGAGAUGGACCCGCGUCUGAUUAGCUGGUUGGUGAGGUAAGGGCUCACCAAGGCGACGAUCAGUAGCCGGCCUGAGAGGGUGAACGGCCACAUUGGGACUGAGACACGGCCCAAACUCCUACGGGAGGCAGCAGUGGGGAAUAUUGCACAAUGGGGGAAACCCUGAUGCAGCGACGCCGCGUGAAGGAAGAAGUAUUUCGGUAUGUAAACUUCUAUCAGCAGGGAAGAAAAUGACAGUACCUGACUAAGAAGCCCCGGCUAACUACGUG
This 513-nucleotide ribosomal RNA is filed under the name uncultured Lachnospiraceae bacterium. RNAcentral's name for it is "bacterial SSU rRNA". It matches the Rfam family "Bacterial small subunit ribosomal RNA", at positions 1 to 507 of the family's 1533-position model. Lineage: Bacteria; Bacillati; Bacillota; Clostridia; Lachnospirales; Lachnospiraceae. The record is from RNAcentral.